UACGUAGGGUGCAAGCGUUGUCCGGAAUUACUGGGCGUAAAGCGUGCGCAGGCGGUUAUGCAAGACAGAUGUGAAAUCCCCGGGCUCAACCUGGGAACUGCAUUUGUGACUGCAUGGCUGGAGUGCGGCAGAGGGGGAUGGAAUUCCGCGUGUAGCAGUGAAAUGCGUAGAUAUGCGGAGGAACACCGAUGGCGAAGGCAAUCCCCUGGGCCUGCACUGACGCUCAUGCACGAAAGCGUGGGGAGCAAACAGG
This 253-nucleotide ribosomal RNA is filed under the name uncultured bacterium. RNAcentral's name for it is "partial 16S ribosomal RNA". It matches the Rfam family "Bacterial small subunit ribosomal RNA", at positions 524 to 776 of the family's 1533-position model. The record is from RNAcentral.